Long non-coding RNA from Neopelma chrysocephalum (saffron-crested tyrant-manakin), 1197 nucleotides. RefSeq lists it as uncharacterized. NCBI's taxonomy places the organism in Eukaryota, Metazoa, Chordata, Aves, Passeriformes, Pipridae. The record is from RefSeq and is a predicted model, not a curated record. The transcript is spliced from 3 exons.
UUUGUGAGGGCUGGACAAAGGCUGGGGCAGCAGCAGUGCCUGUCACCAGCUGAGCUGUGACACCUCCCGAGCUGCUCCUUAGAACUGACCUGCUGCAUGAACCUCUCUGAGCGCUCUGCUCGGUCAGCAGCUACCAGCAGCAAAAGUGCAAAUCAAAGACGAAUGGCCCGUUCAAACAUUUGCCUUCGUGUAGGAGAGCGGGACACGUCCCUGAUUUUGGUGGUGAAAUACAUCUCAGCUUUGAGAGCAGAGACUUCAAACCCUCAGCUCUACAAAGCUCAUUCCCUGACCAUCUCCUGCACCCUAUCACUGGUAAAAAUUUGCUUUUUUUGAGGAGAUCCUGUACAACUCUGAAUCAAUAUUACUGAGGGUUUUUUCCCAAAGUUGCCAGAACGUAGAAAGACAACGAAGAGAUUUACCAUCUGAGCAUUUUACCAAAAUGCCUAAAGGGGACAGAAGUCUCCUGUUUAUUUACUCUGUAUCUGAAAUAUUUCUCCAUCUUUCUGUGUUUGUGCCCUCAAGAACUAAUCACCAUCUCUGCAGGAGACCCCCAAAAGUCCACCCUUCCUUCCUUACACCCCUACCCUGGCAAGGCUGGAGCUCUCACAGAAGUGCCCAUGGGUGUAUUUUUGGUUUUCCUCUUAACUGCAAGGAAGACAAACCUUCCAGCACUGCUGUGAUAUGUGAUGGUGGGAGUGGGAAAGGACAGUACAGGAUCAAGCCCUCUGUACUCCCAGGAAGGCACGGGAGGGCCUGUCCUGCCACACGCUGCCCUUUUCACCCAGGGCACCCUGACAGCACCUGGCACUGAAACCAAAGAUCAGCUCCAAGAAGUGCCUAAGAAAGGGCUCUGACUAGGGCAGAAUUUCCACUUCUCUGCACAACUGCACUUGUCUUUGCUGAGUUGAAAACACUCACUGCCAAGUGAUGAAAUGAGGCCUUGGAGGCUCCAUCACUCAUUAUCACAUUUCAGCCUGAGUGGUCUCCAAACCACAACUUUCCCCAAGGGUUUGAAAUAUUAUUUUAUUUAUUUUUUAAUUGUAGCUGGUUAAAUAUUGGGCCCUUAUCUAAAUCAGAUGUCUUCAGGUACAGAAUUAUUGUUCUUCGGUCAUUGCCUUUUACUCUCUACAGCCAUUAGACGGAAAGUAAGACUGAAAACUGCUGGAGGAAAGUUCAGGUCAUGGUUAUUUGGGGGGG